UACGGAGGGUGCAAGCGUUAAUCGGAAUUACUGGGCGUAAAGGGUGCGUAGGUGGUUUGAUAAGAUAUAUGUGAAAUCCCUGGGCUUAACCUGGGAAGGUCAUAUGUGACUGUUAGACUAGAGUAUGGGAGAGGGUAGUGGAAUUUCCGGUGUAGCGGUGAAAUGCGUAGAGAUCGGAAGGAACACCAGUGGCGAAGGCGGCUACCUGGCCUAAUACUGACACUGAGGCACGAAAGCGUGGGGAGCAAACAGG
RNAcentral lists this ribosomal RNA (253 nucleotides) under uncultured bacterium. RNAcentral's name for it is "partial 16S ribosomal RNA". It matches the Rfam family "Bacterial small subunit ribosomal RNA", at positions 524 to 776 of the family's 1533-position model. The record is from RNAcentral. RNAcentral also lists the same sequence under 1 other name.